RNAcentral lists this ribosomal RNA (468 nucleotides) under uncultured bacterium. Its description in RNAcentral is "partial 16S ribosomal RNA". It matches the Rfam family "Bacterial small subunit ribosomal RNA", at positions 28 to 507 of the family's 1533-position model. The record is from RNAcentral.
GACGAACGCUGGCGGCGUGCUUAACACAUGCAAGUCGAACGGAAAGGCCCUGCUUUUGUGGGGUGAUCGGGUGGCGAACGGGGGCGUAACACGUGUGUAACCUGCCCUUCACUUUGGGAUAACUUCAGGAAACUGGGGCUACUACAGUAUAGGAGCUCCUGCUGCAUGGUGGGGGUUGGAACGUUUCGGCGGUCGGGGUUGGACGCGCGGCUUAUGAGCUUGCUAGUGGGGUAGUGGCUUACCCAGGCUGUGACGGGUAGCCGGCCUGUGAGGGUGAACGGGCACAAGGGGACUGAGAGACGGAGCAGACGGCAAUGGGAGGCAGCAGGGGGGAGUAUGGUACAACGGUCGGAAGUCUGAUGCAGAAACGCCGCGUGCGGGAUGACGGUCUGCGGGGUGUAAAACGCUUUCGCCUGUGACGAAGCGGGAGUGACGGUAAUGGGUAAAGAAGCACCGGCUAACUACGUG